Molecule: ribosomal RNA, 480 nt
Filed under: cf. Acremonium sp. HP-H3/2
Lineage: Eukaryota; Fungi; Ascomycota; Sordariomycetes; Hypocreales; Bionectriaceae
Description: SSU rRNA
Rfam family: Eukaryotic small subunit ribosomal RNA
Source: RNAcentral
CUGCGAAUGGCUCAUUAUAUAAGUUAUCGUUUAUUUGAUAGUACCUUACUACAUGGAUAACCGUGGUAAUUCUAGAGCUAAUACAUGCUGAAAAUCCCGACUUCGGAAGGGAUGUAUUUAUUAGAUACAAAACCAAUGCCCUUCGGGGCUCUCUUGGUGAUUCAUGAUAACUUCUCGAAUCGCACGGCCCCGCGCCGGCGAUGGUUCAUUCAAAUUUCUUCCCUAUCAACUUUCGAUGCUACGGUAUUGUCCUAGCAUGGUUGCAACGGGUGACGGAGGGUUAGGGCUCGACCCCGGAGAAGGAGCCUGAGAAACGGCUACUACAUCCAAGGAAGGCAGCAGGCGCGCAAAUUACCCAAUCCCGACUCGGGGAGGUAGUGACGAUAAAUACCGAUACAGGGCUCUUUUGGGUCCUGUAAUUGGAAUGAGUACAAUUCAAAUCCCUUAACGAGGAACAAUUGGAGGGCAAGUCUGGUGCAA